This 73-nucleotide transfer RNA is filed under the name Chamaesiphon minutus PCC 6605. RNAcentral's name for it is "tRNA-Ile (GAT) (tRNA-Ile-GAT-3-1)". The record is from RNAcentral. Lineage: Bacteria; Bacillati; Cyanobacteriota; Cyanophyceae; Gomontiellales; Chamaesiphonaceae.
UGUAGCUCAAUGGCAGAGUAAUCGCUUGAUAAGCGAUCGGUUGUGGGUCUCUCCUGUCGGAGAGGCUACGCCA